AUGUGGAUUGGAAUGGACAACCCUUGUGAUGAGCUUGACCGUGAUCUAUUCUACGCCUCGACGUGCAUAACCAUUGGCAACGGGGCAUGCGCCCCAUUUUGGGACUCCCCGUGGGUUAAUGGCGAGAAACCUUCCGUCAUAGCACCUCUCAUCUUCGAGGCUUCCACGAGGAAGAAAUGGAAGGUACAGGAGGCCAUGCAUGCGGGCGCGUGGCUGUCCAAAAUCAAGCUCCCCAACAACUGGACAAUGGAGCACAUCCGGCAGCUUGUCACGCUUUGGGCUCGGCUGAGGGCCAUCCCCCUCGCGGUGGACGCCGAGGACACCAUCACCUGGAAGCAUACUGCCAGCGGAAUCUACUCUGCCACAUCCGCGUACAGUGCGCAACUCCUUGGGCUGGUCAGCUCGCCCAUGGGCUUCGCCGUUUGGAAAGCAUGGGCUCCCCCUAAGAUGAAAUUCUUUGCUUGGCUGGCAAUCCAAAACCGAGUCUGGACGGCGGAUAGAUUGGAGAGGAGAGGGUGGCCGAACUGCGGCCUAUGUCCACUCUGCAAGCAGACGUUGGAAACGGCGAGCCACAUCUUCUUCAAGUGUCGGUACUCCAUUAGACUGUUGGGCCUGAUCAAAGGCUGGCUCAAGCUAGACUACCUCGACAUCUCCUCCUGGAUCACGAUGCGCUCCAUCAAGGACUGCUGGCUCAACAUGUCCAACUCCAGCAUGCCCAACCGGAAGGCGAUGGCUUCUCUUGCUAUGCUGACCUGCUGGACCAUUUGGUGCGAGAGAAAUGCACGGGUGUUUCGUCACAAAUCCACGCUUCCGUCUGUAUUGUUCUCCAACAUUAAGAGCGACGCCAACCUUUGGGUAAUUGCGGGUGCUAAGCACUUGGGUCAAAUCAUGCCGGGAGAGUAG
Molecule: ribosomal RNA, 903 nt
Filed under: Triticum aestivum (bread wheat)
Lineage: Eukaryota; Viridiplantae; Streptophyta; Magnoliopsida; Poales; Poaceae
Description: partial small subunit ribosomal RNA
Source: RNAcentral